RNAcentral lists this long non-coding RNA (1275 nucleotides) under Mus musculus (house mouse). RNAcentral describes it as "RNA imprinted and accumulated in nucleus". Lineage: Eukaryota; Metazoa; Chordata; Mammalia; Rodentia; Muridae. The record is from RNAcentral.
GUUCUUUGUUCCUAGUUCACUUCAACCCCACGAUCCUAAGCACACCUGUACCUGCCCUGGAAUCCCUCAGCCAUGUUUGUCCCACAGAGCAUCACUAUCAAACAGUUCACUGUGGACUCCUCGUAGCAGAAGUACAGUAGGGGACAGCAAGUGUCAGCUCCAUCAGGACCCCUGAUUUAAUUAUUUACUGUGGAACCAUUGUCCUGAGUCAGGAGGAUAGAUGAGGAAAGAAUGAGAGCGUGGCUGGCAUCGCUUCAUGAUUACAUUCUGGGAAAGAUCUUGCCUGUUAACCUCUAGAGAAGGAGGGACGAUACAGACAAUGAAGACUAUAGCAGACUGAAUUACUCUCUGAGAUGAGGACUUUGCUAUUGCCAUUGCAGAACCACUGGUGGAAGUUGUUGUUAAACAGUGGGUCUUGCAUGCAAGCUCUACAGUUAUGCACAGUAUUUCCAUGACAUCCCAAGCCAUGAGGUUCAUGCUGCCAUAUCCCCCUGUUUAACAAGUGUGGAAACUGAUAAUGGACUCACAAUUGCUGAUGUAUAGGUUCUAAUGUUUUCUAUUGUGGACACGGGACACCCAGACUGAGAACCAAUGGCUCCAGUCUGAUUUAAACAUGGGUCCGUGCUCACACACUCAAUACCUACCCUCUGUGCUCACAAGUCCUGUAUGAUUUACACAGCCUAGCUGGAUCAGGAGCCCCCUAAUAAGCUGCUUCAGAUUGUAAUAUAGACACAGUAAUGUAUGCCUGCAGGAUGAGUCCCACCUUCUUCAUUAGUCUUGAGGUUUGAGAUUCCCUGUUUGUGUCUGCAGGAUUCAGAUAGUAAUGGAUAUCCUGCAAGUCGGCUUCGUAGAGUCUCCCUUGAAAGUGGACCUCAUGAUCUAGCCUUUAUGUCCGUGGAUUGACACUGUGAUGGAUUCCCCCCAAGUUCAUUUAGAUAUUCUCUCUUAUUCAUAAAUGUCACGGUCAGCUCUGUUCUUAUAGAUACCAGAAUGGAUACCCCUAAGCUGAUGUAUAUACACCCUUCCUCGGUUGUGAGAUUCCUGCUCUGGUGGUUGUAGUCAUAAGAUAUACAUCGUUGCGUACACCUUGGUUGUGGGCACGCACACUACUGUUGAAUUACCACCUUGUCCAAGUGGAUGGAUGCCCUCAAUGGGAUUGGCACUUUCUCCAUUGCUCCUGCACUCUGUUAUCAGCACUUCGGGUUCAUAAUGUACACACAGCAAUGGAUUUUCUGCAGCUGAUUUUCUAUAUUCUGUUUUCUUCGGGUAAGCAGA